Molecule: ribosomal RNA, 2393 nt
Filed under: Histomonas meleagridis
Lineage: Eukaryota; Parabasalia; Tritrichomonadida; Dientamoebidae
Description: bacterial LSU rRNA
Rfam family: Bacterial large subunit ribosomal RNA
Source: RNAcentral
GAGGCAUACCCAGGGAACUGAAACAUCUAAGUACCUGGAGGAAGAGAAAACAAGAGUGAUUCCGUCAGUAGCGGCGAGCGAACGCGGAACAGCCUAAACCAGAGAGCUUGCUCUCUGGGGUUGUGGGACGUCUCACAUGGAGUUACAAAGGUUUAGAUUAGACGAACAGGUCUGGAAAGGCCGGCCAUAGAAGGUAAAAGCCCUGUAAUCGAAAAUGUGAACCCUCCGAGACGGAUCCCGAGUAGUGCGGGGCACGUGAAACCCCGUAUGAAUCCAGCAGGACCAUCUGCUAAGGCUAAAUACUCCCUAGCGACCGAUAGUGAAGCAGUACCGUGAGGGAAAGGUGAAAAGCACCCCGGAAGGGGAGUGAAAUAGAACCUGAAACCGUGUGCUUACAAGAAGUCAGAGCCCGAUCGAUGGGUGAUGGCGUGCCUUUUGUAGAAUGAACCGGCGAGUUACGUUCCCAUGCAAGGUUAAGGCGAGAAGCCGUAGCCGCAGCGAAAGCGAGUCUGAAUAGGGCGACUUUAGUAUGUGGACGUAGACCCGAAACCGUGUGAUCUACCCCUGUCCAGGGUGAAGGUGCGGUAACACGCACUGGAGGCCCGAACCCACGUACGUUAAAAAGUGCGGGGAUGAGGUGGGGGUAGCGGAGAAAUUCCAAUCGAACUCGGAGAUAGCUGGUUCUCCCCGAAAUAGCUUUAGGGCUAGCCUCGGAAAUUAGAGUCGUGGAGGUAGAGCACUGAUUGGGUGCGGGGCCCGCAAGGGUUACCAAGCUCAGUCAAACUCCGAAUGCCAUAGACUUAUAUCCGGGAGUCAGACAGUGAGUGCUAAGAUCCAUUGUCAAAAGGGAAACAGCCCAGACCAUCAGCUAAGGUCCCCAAGUGUGUGUUAAGUGGGAAAGGAUGUGGAGUUGCACAGACAACCAGGAUGUUGGCUUAGAAGCAGCCACCAUUUAAAGAGUGCGUAAUAGCUCACUGGUCGAGUGACUCUGCGCCGAAAAUGUAACGGGGCUAAACACACCACCGAAGCUAUGGCUUGAUCGAUUCAGGGGUAGGGGAGCGUUGUAUGCAGGUUGAAGGUGUACCGUAAGGAGCGCUGGACAGCAUACAAGUGAGAAUGCCGGUAUGAGUAACGAAAAGAUCAGUGAGAAUCUGAUCCGCCGAAAGCCCAAGGUUUCCUGAGGAAGGCUCGUCCGCUCAGGGUAAGUCGGGACCUAAGGCGAGGCCGAAAGGCGUAGUCGAAGGACAACAGGUUGAAAUUCCUGUACCACCGUAAACCGUUAUGAACGAUGGGGUGACGCAGGAGGGUAGUGACGCGGACUGAUGGAUGUCCGUCCAAGCAGUGAGGCUGAUGUGUAGGCAAAUCCGCACAUCGUAAGGCUGGGCUGUGAUGGGGAGUGAAAAUUACAGUAGCGAAGGUCAUGAUCUCACACUGCCAAGAAAAGCCUCUAGUCAGGUGAAGGUGCCCGUACCGCAAACCGACACAGGUAGGCGAGAAGAGAAUUCUAAGGCGCGCGGAAGAACUCUCGUUAAGGAACUCGGCAAAAUGACCCCGUAACUUCGGGAGAAGGGGUGCCUCGGUAGGGUGAAUAGCCCGAGGGGGCCGCAGUGAAAAGGCCCAAGCGACUGUUUAGCAAAAACACAGGUCUGUGCGAAGCCGCAAGGCGAAGUAUACGGGCUGACGCCUGCCCGGUGCUGGAAGGUUAAGGGGAGCGGUUAGGGGUUAAACCCGAAGCUGUGAACCGAAGCCCCAGUAAACGGCGGCCGUAACAAUAACGGUCCUAAGGUAGCGAAAUUCCUUGUCAGGUAAAUUCUGACCCGCACGAAUGGCGUAACGACUUGGGCGCUGUCUCAACGAGAGAUCCGGUGAAAUUUUAAUACCUGUGAAGAUGCAGGUUACCCGCGACAAGACGGAAAGACCCCAUGGAGCUUUACUGCAGCUUGAUAUUGGAUUUGGGUACGAUCUGUACAGGAUAGGUGGGAGCCUUUGAAGCAUGAGCGCCAGCUUGUGUGGAGGCGACGUUGGGAUACCACCCUGAUCGUAUCUAGGUUCUAACCUGGUACCGUGAUCCGGUACGGGGACAGUGUCAGGCGGGCAGUUUGACUGGGGCGGUCGCCUCCUAAAGAGUAACGGAGGCGCCCCAAGGUUCCCUCAGAAUGGUUGGAAAUCAUUCGAAGAGUGCAAAGGCAUAAGGGAGCUUGACUGCGAGACCUACAAGUCGAGCAGGGACGAAAGUCGGGCUUAGUGAUCCGGUGGUACCGCAUGGAAGGGCCAUCGCUCAACGGAUAAAAGCUACCCUGGGGAUAACAGGCUUAUCUCCCCCAAGAGUCCACAUCGACGGGGAGGUUUGGCACCUCGAUGUCGGCUCAUCGCAUCCUGGGGCUGAAGUAAGU